GAAAUGCGAUAAGUAAUGUGAAUUGCAGAAUUCAGUGAAUCAUCGAAUCUUUGAACGCACAUUGCGCCCCCUGGUAUUCCGGGGGGCAUGCCUGUUCGAGCGUCAUUUCACCACUCAAGCCUCGCUUGGUAUUGGGCAACGCGGUCCGCCCCGUGCCUCAAAUCGACCGGCUGGGUCUUCUGUCCCCUAAGCGUUGUGGAAACUAUUCGCUAAAGGGUGUUCGGGAGGCUACGCCGUAAAACAACCCCAUUUCUAAGGUUGACCUCGGAUCAGGUAGGGAUACCCGCUGAACUUAAGC
Molecule: unclassified non-coding RNA, 298 nt
Filed under: plant metagenome
Description: partial contains 5.8S ribosomal RNA, internal transcribed spacer 2, and large subunit ribosomal RNA
Rfam family: 5.8S ribosomal RNA (bases 1-105)
Source: RNAcentral